CUGAACUUCAGGAUAUCAUUCCGGUCUCAGCCUGGUGGCAUUCUUCUUGGAGUUACUACAAGCUUCAUCAGUGGUCGCCAUUGUCUUCCUGAUAGUUUUCCAUGAUGUCCUGAUUUCCAUGGGUUUCCCAUUAAAGACUCUGCCAUGCAGGGAAGCUUCCUCCUCCACUUAAUUUCUAAUGGGAAGUUGCAUCAGGAGAAAGCAGCCCUUUUCUUGAGCCACCUGCUGCUCUGGAUGCUGUUAGCACACUUCAGUAAGAUUUCUAGUGCCCAAGUGGGAUGGAAAGGACAGGCUGAAUUGACUCUAACAUGGGCUCUAAUUGUGAGGAGACCCAAGGCAUGCCAGGAAUCUUGCUAUCAUCACACAGAGCAUGAGAACAACUCCCAAGAGAAAAGGAGACAAUCUGCUACAUGGGAACAAGCACAUUUUAUAGAUGAGGAAACUGAGACAAAUAGAGGUCUUUUUUAAAUAGAGGAAACAAAGAAGAAAACAGUCACCCAGGCUUGGAGUAAAGUAUCUGUCAUUCAGAGUUGGAGGGAAGACAGACACUUGAGGAGAGACUGGAAGAUGGACAGUGGGACUUGGCUGUAGAACUGGACCCCUGGAGAAGCUCAUGCAGGAGACCUCAGACUGCUUUCCUUUUUCCUUUGGUGAGUGAAAGGCUGACUUAUUGACUCCGCCUUUCUGGAGGUAUGAACCUCCAAAAAAGGCCCAUCAUCUUAGGACUCUUUUCCCUGAAUUGGGCCUUGGAAUUUCUACCUGGCUCAGAAGAAUCUGGAGUUUUAUCCCUCUCUCCCCUUUACUCACUUCCUUAAUAUCUUAGAUUCUGUUGUAAAUAAACUACCAUAAAUUACAUUUUACU
RNAcentral lists this long non-coding RNA (862 nucleotides) under Monodelphis domestica (gray short-tailed opossum). RNAcentral describes it as "lncRNA (ENSMODG00000039908.1)". The record is from RNAcentral. Lineage: Eukaryota; Metazoa; Chordata; Mammalia; Didelphimorphia; Didelphidae.